Passer montanus (Eurasian tree sparrow) is the source of this 606-nucleotide long non-coding RNA. RefSeq lists it as uncharacterized. The record is from RefSeq and is a predicted model, not a curated record. NCBI's taxonomy places the organism in Eukaryota, Metazoa, Chordata, Aves, Passeriformes, Passeridae. The transcript is spliced from 4 exons.
GUAGUACCUACAAUGAAAAUGCCCCUAUGAAGAGACAUUUACAAAGUGACUUGAUCAGAUAUUUUCUGCUGAUUACAUGACAGCUGGGAGAAUUUGCCAUUUUCUUUGUAUAAAAUUACAAAGAACUUCAACAAAGGGCUUUGUCCCCAACCUUUGAAAAGAACUAAACCAGCAGAACCUCUAGUAAACAAGGAUCUCUGUAAUUCUGGUGAGAGCAAAAAGUGAUUAGAUUCACAGUGAUCUGGAGGCUGUAGCAGUAAAGAACUUUCUACUUUGAUGAACUCAGCAAGUUUUAUUUCCUUUUGAAACAACUUAUGGCAGAUGGAAAACUGAUUUUGGUUGUCUAUUAUGAUUUUAAUGCUUUUUUCCUUCCAAAAUAUUUUUUGUUGGUUUGAGGGGUUUUUUUUCCUUUUUUUUUGGUCCCCUUUAUUUUUUUUUUUUGCUUGUUCUCCAUCUGAGAAUAGUAAUUGCCCCAUGGCUCUUUUCAUUUGAUGUCUAAAGAGGUUGACUUUCAACAGCAUAGAAUAACACACUUAAAUCCUAAGGCUAUUUUAAUCUGGAAUGUUCAGGAAAGGUCUUUACCUUGUAAUAGGGGUUGUUGCUGAA